GCUUAGCCCUGAUUGAGCGACAUGUUUGAGCUUUUUUCGGGUUUAGGCUCGGCGGCUUCGCCGCCGAGCCUAAACCCGAAAAAACGAGUAGUGAAAGCAGGAAUUAGC
Molecule: unclassified non-coding RNA, 108 nt
Filed under: Chryseobacterium sp. RU37D
Lineage: Bacteria; Pseudomonadati; Bacteroidota; Flavobacteriia; Flavobacteriales; Weeksellaceae
Description: Flavo-1 RNA
Source: RNAcentral